GGCCUCAUCGUCUAAUGGUUAGGACAGCGCCCUCUCACGGCGCAAAUCGGGGUUCGAAUCCCCGUGGGGUCACCA
This 75-nucleotide transfer RNA is filed under the name Patescibacteria group bacterium. Its description in RNAcentral is "tRNA-Glu". It matches the Rfam family "tRNA". From Rfam's summary of the family: Transfer RNA (tRNA) molecules are approximately 80 nucleotides in length. The record is from RNAcentral.